GAACGAGUAUAGAUCACGUAGCUGACCGGCAGUUCUGCGCGUGAUGCGUGGUAGUUAUAAGCAUCCGUAUCACAGCCGGACUGCUGAUCUGCCGAUCUUGCUUCUUCU
RNAcentral lists this microRNA precursor (108 nucleotides) under Pristionchus pacificus. RNAcentral's name for it is "microRNA ppc-mir-2b precursor". Its record names the gene ppc-mir-2b. Lineage: Eukaryota; Metazoa; Nematoda; Chromadorea; Rhabditida; Neodiplogasteridae. The record is from miRBase by way of RNAcentral.